RNAcentral lists this transfer RNA (89 nucleotides) under Clostridia bacterium. Its description in RNAcentral is "tRNA-Ser". It matches the Rfam family "tRNA". From Rfam's summary of the family: Transfer RNA (tRNA) molecules are approximately 80 nucleotides in length. Their secondary structure includes four short double-helical elements and three loops (D, anti-codon, and T loops). Lineage: Bacteria; Bacillati; Bacillota; Clostridia. The record is from RNAcentral.
GGAGAGAUAUCGAAGUGGUCAUAACGGGGCUGACUCGAAAUCAGUUUGAGAGCAAUCUCACGUGGGUUCGAAUCCCACUCUCUCCGCCA